RNAcentral lists this ribosomal RNA (501 nucleotides) under uncultured bacterium. Its description in RNAcentral is "bacterial SSU rRNA". It matches the Rfam family "Bacterial small subunit ribosomal RNA", at positions 29 to 505 of the family's 1533-position model. The record is from RNAcentral.
AACGAACGCUGGCGGCGUGGAUUAGGCAUGCAAGUCGUACGCGAAAGAGGGAGCAAUCCCUUGAGUAGAGUGGCGAACGGGUGAGUAACGCGUGAGAAACCUGCCUUUGACAGGGGGAUAACACUCCCAACGGGGUGCUAAUACCGCAUGAGACCACGGGAUCGCAUGAUCCUGAGGUCAAAGAUGGCCUCUAUUUAUAAGCUAUCGGUCGAAGAUGGUCUCGCGUCCCAUUAGCUUGUUGGCGGUGUAAAGACCACCAAGGCGACGAUGGGUAGCUGGUCUGAGAGGAUGGUCAGCCACACUGGGACUGAGAUACGGCCCAGACUCCUACGGGAGGCAGCAGUCGAGAGGCUUCGGCAAUGGGGGAAACCCUGACCGAGCGACGCCGCGUGGAGGAUGAAGGCCCUUGGGUUGUAAACUCCUUUAUUCGGGAAGAAGUGCGAUCAGGUGAAUAAUCUGGUCGUUUGACGGUACCGGAUGAAUAAGCUCCGGCUAACUCCG